Molecule: long non-coding RNA, 1663 nt
Filed under: Manihot esculenta (cassava)
Lineage: Eukaryota; Viridiplantae; Streptophyta; Magnoliopsida; Malpighiales; Euphorbiaceae
Description: long non-coding RNA (MESC_LNC007407)
Source: RNAcentral
UUUCUCACAGAUGAAGGAAUGUGUGCAAGAACUUGAAUUCUCUCUCGGUAGAAGAAAACGUGGCAUCACAUCUGAAGUUGAGGUUUACAUGGAAUCUAGAAAGAAGUUGAGCAAAGUUAUUAUCAAAUAUCUGAGGUAUUUGAAGAGAAAGGAGAGGAAUAGCACAUCAGAAGCCAUGGACAAUAACUCCAACUUGACAAACAUGAUUAGCAUAUUAACAAGAGUCCAAGAAAUUAGCCUUGGAGAGUUCCAGUCAAUAUUAUCUUUCAUUUCUCAGCCAAAGGCAAAAUCAAAGCCCUUUGGCUGGUCCAUCAUCUCAAAAGCAUUGCAAUCAAAGCGGGUAUCAUGUGAAGUGGAAACUGAAGUGAAUGAAGUAGAGAAGCUUGACGCUGAAUUGCUUACCCUGAAGUCAAGCAAAGACAUCAGUAUUUCACAACUUCAAAGCCUUCUUAAAGGAUUGGAGGCUUUGGGGUCAAGCAUUCAAGAAGCUGAGGAGGAGCUAGAAUGUAUUUACAGGCUAUUGGUGAAAACUAGAGUAUCCCUUCUCAACAUCCUCAACCAUUAGUGGGGUUGCUUCCACAAACUCCCCUACACAAUUUGUAUCAGACAAAUUCAGUUCCCAAUUGUAGAUAUGUAUACACACAGAAAAUGAAAGCAAAGAUUUCUAUAUUCAGAUUCAGAACAUCUCCAAUUUGCUCACUUUCUCCUCUUUAUAUUAUAUUCAACUGCUAAAGUAGCUCAAAGAAUUUUUACAAAGUUAGAUUUAGAAGAAUCAACAUAGUAUUCUAACAAGAUCUUGAGAAGCACUGUUUAUAUCUAUAGCCAGGGGAAUCAACAUGUUUUCUGCUGCUUGGAGUUGGUUAACCUGAGAUGGAAAAAGAAUAAAUUGCAGGAUGAAUAAUUUUAAUUUAGUGGAAAAUGCUAUCCUUUGUAAAAAUUUUCAAAAUUAUCAUUAAGAUUUUAUAACUUAAACCAUCUGAAAAAAAAAAAAAAAUGGAAAGUAAACCCUGAAAGGACUUUUGUUUCAUUUCCAAGGAAGUUAAACAAGGCCUUUUGUUCACCCAUGAAUUGGUACAAGUAUUGCUAAAUGUGAUGCAUAGACUAUUUUGUCUAAUAAUUUAGACAAGGCUGUCAAGAUUCUUGCUGCUUCAUAAUCAAUUGGUAUUCAAGUAAUAAAAGAAAUUGAACAAUUAUUGUGAGCUAAUGCAUCCCCUUUUGGGUCAAAUUAUUCUAGUCAUGCAAAUGAAGUAGGUAAUAUUUUCAGAAACCUGAAGGAAAUUAUCUAAUAAUUACAUCUUAAAUUAUUGAAGUUGGGUUCAUGCAUGGGCUAUUUGUCCACUAAUAACGGUAUGAUUACUUGCGCAUGUUCAAACUUAAAGCUGUUCAAUUUGAGGGAGAUCUCUCUACCUGGAGUCAUGGCAGCAGAUACUGAACCUGAAAAAUUAUAAUCAAUCAGGCUUGGACAGCAAGACCAUUUGCAUAUUCAUAUUUUUUAUUAGACUUCCCUGCAGAUAAGAAAAAUGGCAUCAUCUCCCUUGGACUGCAAAGAACAAGAAAAGCAGGUCUUCUUGACAGUGCAUUUGUCAUCCAAUUUUCAACUUGUAUUUAUGAUCUUGUAAUCCAACCCUAACAGGGUGGAGAUUCCUUUUUUGUUGCAAGUCAG